GGAGGUGACAGGUGUCUGGUGGUGCCCCUGGUCUUCAAAACCAGUGAGGGGUUCGCAAGAGUCCCAGGUGGGUUCGAUUCCCAUUCACCUCCGCCA
This 96-nucleotide transfer RNA is filed under the name Pirellulaceae bacterium. RNAcentral's name for it is "tRNA-Sec". It matches the Rfam family "Selenocysteine transfer RNA". Lineage: Bacteria; Pseudomonadati; Planctomycetota; Planctomycetia; Pirellulales; Pirellulaceae. The record is from RNAcentral.